Molecule: long non-coding RNA, 490 nt
Organism: Zingiber officinale
Lineage: Eukaryota; Viridiplantae; Streptophyta; Magnoliopsida; Zingiberales; Zingiberaceae
Exons: 2
Source: RefSeq, a predicted model, not a curated record
UUCCCCAAAUUUCCCGACACCCUAACUCCCACGACGCUCCCCCUCCCUCUUUGGCGACGACGAUGAUUGGCUGAUCCACUCCAACCGCCUCCAGCUCGUGAAGCUCUGUCAAGGCAUAACCUACUCCCUCUCCCCUCUCAUUUCCCCUCCCGUCACCGGUCUGAUCUGUGACGCGAUGAGGUGAGAUGGCCGCUAGCCAUGUCGGCGAGGCUGGACACAACCUCGGACAUCACCUCAUGUUGGUGGUGAGGCUGGUCAUGAUCAAAAGAGAGCGAGGGAGGAGUAUCAGAUGGAGGGAGGGAGGAGAUGCUGUCUGGAGGUACUAUGCGGAGAUUGUUUAAGGGCUCGCUGAAGGUUCUUGAAGCCGACAUCCAACAUGCAAGCACUUUGUAUAUUGUUGUUGUUUUCCCCAAAUCUAGUUUUGCUACAGGUUAACUGGUGCGUCUGAUUUUUUAUGUAUCAAAGUAGUAUUUUGAGGCUUUUAUCCGUU